Molecule: long non-coding RNA, 2347 nt
Organism: Trachymyrmex cornetzi
Lineage: Eukaryota; Metazoa; Arthropoda; Insecta; Hymenoptera; Formicidae
Exons: 2
Source: RefSeq, a predicted model, not a curated record
CUUAUCGCGUCUCCGUUUCGACUUUUGGGAUUGUUUUUUAGUAUUUCCUGUUCAGUGCGCGCGCGCACACGCUCAUUAUUAUAACGAAGAUGAAAAAUUUUCCAUAAUAUGUGUAAAUUGAUAUUGAAUUAUUAUCGGAUUAAUGCUUAGAUUAAUGUUAACUAAUAUUUCGUUUUAUGAUGCGAAGAUCCAUUGCCUCUAUUGUGUUCAAAACCUUUUUGUAACAUUGAAUAAUACGUCUGAAGGCAUAUUUUUAUAUAUGUAUUGCAAUGAUAUAAUAUAGCGAUAGUUGCAUGUUCUUUAUCCUACGUCGGGUUCCAUCGCCAUUUAAUUUUCCCCUCUGUGAUCAUAAAUAAUGGAUAAUCAAUUAUUUUUAUAAUCGUGAGCAACCUGUCUCAUACAAAACGAUUAGAGUCUCGCGUAUAAUAAGAUGCAUUGCUUAUGUCGUUCCUUUAAUUCCAUAAGAUACGUCGCAUGUUUUCCGAGUAAUUGUACAUUUAAAGGAUGCAAAGGAGUCGUUACGUAACACGAGAAACACAUAAUUUAUAUAGUGAUAAUUAUAAGAUGUAGAGAAUUGAAACGAGAGAAUUUGAAACUACGAUUAUUGUGAUUGAUUGGUUCUGUGCCGUAACAUAAUCUGUGUUUUUAGUGUUCCACCGUAAAUCUUAUUCGCGAAGAUGUAAGUAUAUUUAUGGAUGACAAUUCCGAUACAGAGAAAGAGGGUAAGCUGUCGACGGGCGAUGCCACGUGUUUGUCAAAAUUUAUGUCAACAAUUUGUGAUCAAAGGGCGAGGGAUUCGUUUUUGCCCAAUUCAGUUUGAUUAAACGACUUAUAUAUGUAUAUCUACAUACACACACAUUCACGUAGCAUGCAAUGUCAAACACGUUCCAAACGAAACUGUUAAUUUCGUGCCACGAUAUACGGUGUACAUGAUCCACUGGACUUUUGCGAGAAUCAUAUUCGGAGUUGUAACUUCAACGUACAAAAAAAGAAGGAAGAGGAAAAGCAGAUACACUCGGAGCCGAGAUUUAGUCCAAGAUUUUCAUUCUACGUAAAUUAUAAUUCUGUCGUGUUACGUUCUUUGAAAUGUCGAAAUUGGGAGAUGGAAGUAGGUAGAGUGGUCAUUAUCAAAGAUACUCUUUAAACCCGCUUAAGUAUAUAGCAGGCGCGUGACGUGAAUAAAGAAGAUGAUGAACGGCUGCUAUUCCUGUUCCGCCGGCGGAGCACGUAUCUUGAUUUGACAUCGUGUUUUUCUCGCGAGGUAAACGUUGAAUUAGAUAAUUGAGAGGGAAACGUACUCUCUUCACCUUCAGAUGUUUUAAUCAGGACAGGGAGACAGCAAUAUUUUUGCUACUCGUUCGUAAUUAUAUAUCAUCGAUGUUAGCGAGCAUGCCGACGACGGCACGAGCGUCAGACGCGUUUGCAAUAAUGGUUGAUUAACAAAGUAAUAAGGAGGAUACAAUCGUUAUAUCAAUCGUACGAUCGAAACUAGUCGCCCGACAACGACGAUACAGUUGUGCUUGCGGAAUAUGCAUUUCGAUAUAGUUUGGCAAAUUCGUUUUACAACUCGAUCGCGCGACAGCGAUCCGUUUACUUGCUACCUUAUCCAACUGAAAAUCGAACAAGCCCUAAUCUCCUAACUUAGAUCCAGCGAUAAAAAUGACUUGGCCGUGUGCAUAUUUGCAAACUAGAUAGUGAACGCCGACAUUGUCACGGGACGACAGUAAUCGAGCAAUGCAGCAAACGCGAAUAAAACAAUAGCUGAUAUUUAUCGGUCUAGUAAUUUAACCGCACUCUAGACGUUCUUAUUCUGCAGCACAUCCGGGAAUGUAAUUAACAAUAUUAAAGAAACUAUUAAUUUCAGUGGUACUUUCGUUACUUUUGCUUUAGACAAUGUCGACGUUCGCAAUGGACAGAUUUUCGCGUGUGUUAUUACUGCUUUAUAUUACUCAGCGAUUGUGCGAGAACGUUUUCUAAACCGUUUCCAUGUAGAUAAGCGAGGCCAAUUUUCUACCGCGUCUGAGAAAAAUAAAUAAUCCCGAUGAGAAUUUUGCGUAAUCACGCAAAGUGAGAAUUACUCCGUCGCGAAGAAACAGAAUUGUAAACGCAAAAAAUAAAAUUACGAUGUUAAAUUAAGUGCAAUUUGUGACGCGAGAGGAGGACAUAUUCUCUCGAAUGAAAAGUUUACGCUCGCUUAUGCAUCUGGAAAUGAUAAGGAUUUAAUAUUUCGACUAUAUAUGGCGAUAGAGAGGCUGAAAGAGAUGAAAAGGCAGGAGCAUAAAAGGAAGAGACGUUUUCUUAACGGCCCGCAUUACGAUGUGCGUGCAAGUUUUUUUAAUUAUUCAAG